Molecule: ribosomal RNA, 445 nt
Filed under: uncultured soil bacterium
Lineage: Bacteria
Description: bacterial SSU rRNA
Rfam family: Bacterial small subunit ribosomal RNA
Source: RNAcentral
AGAACGAACGCUGGCGGCAUGCCUAAUACAUGCAAGUCGAACGAACACUUCGGUGUUAGUGGCGCACGGGUGCGUAACGCGUGGGAAUCUGCCCUUGGGUUCGGAAUAACAGUUGGAAACGACUGCUAAUACCGGAUGAUGACGAAAGUCCAAAGAUUUAUCGCCCAGGGAUGAGCCCGCGUAGGAUUAGCUAGUUGGUGAGGUAAAGGCUCACCAAGGCGACGAUCCUUAGCUGGUCUGAGAGGAUGAUCAGCCACACUGGGACUGAGACACGGCCCAGACUCCUACGGGAGGCAGCAGUGGGGAAUAUUGGACAAUGGGCGAAAGCCUGAUCCAGCAAUGCCGCGUGAGUGAUGAAGGCCUUAGGUUGUAAAGCUCUUUACCGGGAUGAUAAUGACAGUAACCGGAGAAUAAGCUACCGGCUAACGUCCGUGCCAGCAGCCGC